GGGGUCGACUGGUUUUGACAGCGAGAUCAAUCGAAAAUGUAAGCAUGCCGAGUCAGGAAUCACCACUCGUUAAUCUGGGAUUCACCUUUUUAAAUGGCGAAAAUAACUACGCUUUAGCUGCUUAAUUGACUGAAUUAUAGUAAGUCUUAGCCAUGUUCCAACUAGGUUGGAAAGCUGAAUGUCUCUGGAUAGCCCUUGUUGACGGCGAUCUAAUUAGAGGCACCAUUAAAGUCAACAUCGAAAUUUUUGGGUGCCGCNAAAAUUUUUCAAUAAAGGCAAUAAGGUAGUAAUAGGCUGUUUUCUGUCAGUUACUACUCGAAAACCAAUAGAAAACUAAGCGUGUAGAAAGCCUUUUUAUUGCUUGUUUGGACGCGGGUUCGAUUCCCGCCGACUCCACUU
This 399-nucleotide transfer-messenger RNA is filed under the name Flavobacteriaceae. RNAcentral describes it as "UBA11891 sp003533785 Standard tmRNA". It matches the Rfam family "transfer-messenger RNA". From Rfam's summary of the family: Bacterial tmRNA, also known as 10Sa RNA or SsrA, is named for its dual tRNA and mRNA-like properties. Its role is to liberate the mRNA from a stalled ribosome. The record is from RNAcentral. Lineage: Bacteria; Pseudomonadati; Bacteroidota; Flavobacteriia; Flavobacteriales. RNAcentral also lists the same sequence under 1 other name.